GCCGCCGCUCUCUCCGAGAGAGGCCAUCGCAUAAGUCACCGGUGGAUCUGGCCACAGGGAAGCGAGGGACACGAGUCGCCGCCACCAUCUUCUCCUCUUCCAUCCCCACCCCACCAUCGCCUCCCUCGCUCUCGCCCUCUUCUAAUCGCUCUCCACUCCAUUUAGUGCCAGAUCCGAGCGAUGGCUAGGACGCCAGGGACGAUAAGAGAGAUUGAGAGCGGCGGCUCAGCCAUGACUAGGACAACAAUAACAAGCCAUGACUGUACCAGCGUAUGGCGACGACUCGGAUAAACCCAAUUUGGUAUGCAGUUCUACUUAAAGCAAUGAACGAUUUUUCCCUUUGUGUUGUACUAUGAUUUCUAUAUACUAUAUGCAAGUGUACCUAUUUGAUCUAGCCACUGAUCCCUGUUCUGGUUUGCUGCUCAUUAUUAGUUCAACAUGAAUGAUAUAUGUGGUCCUAUUUAGGUUUAGUUGUUUAUGCUAUGAGCAGUUUUUUAUUGGUUAAUUUGCUGCCUGCUAUUUUUGUACACAGGAUGAUAAUACAUAUGCAUUGAUGGUAUUCUUUGUGGAUGAUCUUACAAUGGCAAUGGUUCUCACGAAAGAUUCUAUGUAAACCUAACAAUCUUGGCAUACUAUCACAUCCAACCUUUCAAUUGGGCCACACUGAAGGUACCAUUCUUUUAUUCUCCAUUUUUUGACUUAAUUUCUUGAUUUGUAUGUAAUAGCAAGUUUUUUUUCCCUUUUUAUUGACUUAAUUUCAGUUACAAAAAGAGAAGUAUUAUUGUUUAAGUCAUGUGAUACGCCAGCAAGCAAACUACUCAUUUAGGUACCAGAACAACUGAAUACUUUGUGCAUAAUCAUCAAAACAGGACUCAGCAACAAGAUAAUUAAUAUGGCAGUAAUAAAAGUAAAAGUAUUGAGACAACUAAGGAGGUUCUAAUAGGCAGCAAGUUUCAAUAGGACAUGCAAAACCAAGCGGAUGUGAUCUCAAGGACCGGGAAGAAACGUUAGCUAGAACUCCUGGCAAAACUAUAUUUGUUUGAAUUACUGCCAGAUAUAUGGCCCAAAAGUAGAACAAAGCAAUUUGAAAUUACAUCAAGUGGGAAAUGCAUAUGGUAAUGAACUUUCUGUACACGUUGGAUAUUAUUUUAAAGAGGUUAUACCAGUGGUGGUAGUAACAUGAAAAUAAUGGUGGAAAGCGUGUGUGAAGUGGUUUCAUACCGGUGGGAUUGUGGGUAUUCAGAAGGAAAGCAAACAUCAAAGAAGAACAGACCAUCAUGAUAUGGAGUUUCAGCUGGCCCAACAAUGGCAGCCCUCAGCAGAUCAAUCCUAUCCUCAUAAACUCUAACAUAGAUAGAUUCUGCAUGAUUGAAACCAGACUGAGAUGCAAGUUUCUAGUAUUGAAGACAUCAGCUAUUUCAGUCACAGUUGCUCUAAACGAAAAACUUAAGGCGCAAAUGUAAACUGUAUGUAAUGAUACUUGUGAUACAUUAGCUUCCUUCAGCAACAUGAUUUGAGAUAUGUACAUUCUUUUCCAUUUGUCCCAUUACCCAAACUUAGCAAGAUUAAGUUCUGAAGACUGUUAUGCUUCUAUGACAAGAUUGCAUGGAAAAGGGACGAUAAAUGCAGACCAUAACUAAAAGAUAUGUGACACAUUAACAAAAACUAACAGAUAAAUCAGAUAUAGCACGAAUAAAGUAUUUUAUACAUCAAGCAUAGACAAUAUCAUUAGCUAGUUCGGGAUUCAGCAACAGUUGUAACAAAACUCCAAACCACAAACAAAUUGGUAUAACCAAUGAAUAUAUCCUAUUCAAACCCAAACUGAGCAUGUGACUACCUUUAACUCAAGAAAGAUUUCAAACAUAGUCUGUUAGCAUGUCACACGGAUCAGAUAUAAUUGGCAUAAAACAGAGGUCAGUAUAAGAAAGGACCAUUAUAUGUGUUCACCAUCUAGGCACUGACGGUUUGAUAAAAUUGAAUACAAUGAUUUGCCAUAUAAAAGCAUGUACUGACCAGGUAGAUCUUUCUGUAGAAGCCUCCAUUCAUUUUGGAUUGUCUUCACCCAAUCUUUGGAGGUCUGAUCAGUGGCCACAGAUAAAGACAGGAAAUUAAUUCACAGUUGGAUCUAUUGAUAGAAAUAGAAUUCAUAAAACGCACAGCUUACCUUCCCUGGUGAAUUCUUUGCAUAGUAAUGGUCAGAAAAAUCUUGAACAACAUCAAAAUGGCUAAACAAAUUGCAACCAUCACUUUCAAAUCCAUAUUCUGUCCUUGUCAUUGAUGAUAUAACACUUGAACAUUCAGGCUCAUGUUUUUGCACAGAUAGCACAGUACCAUUCCCAGUUGAAAAGGGAUCCAAAAGGCUGUUGUUUGUGCUGACAUUUGCAGUGGGGUGUGGAGCGGCAACUGAAAGCCAGUAGAGUAACUAGUUUCAAACCAAGAUGUUACAAAAAAAGGCACACCAAUCUUAAAGACAGAGAUACAGAAUAGGAUACUGAAGCUCAUUUAACUGCAAAAAAGAGGUUUACUUGCAUCAAUACUACCGACUGACAGCAAAGCAAAGAGUGAUGAACAUUAGAUAAUGUGUAGUUCUGUUAAAGUAACAAAUAUCCCCUUUGGGGGUAAACGGGGAGGGGGGGGGCUUUUUUUUUUUUUGUUCAUUUUAAUUUUUUAAAAGAACAGGUUCAGCUACAUGAAGCAUAAGAAUUACAAAAACAAACAAGGAGGAAAAAGUUGCAUGAAAAGAUAACUUUACAAAGAGGAUUAAUGGCUUUGCCUGCAUGAAAAUAUUCUUUUAUUAGAAAGCUCCAGGCAGAAGAGCAAAACACUUGAUUUUAUCUUUCUGAAACAAAAUAAGGAGAAUUCCAUGCUUCAGAGGGAGAUGCGGAUUUCGUGGCUGGGUAUACAGGCUAAUGAAAUAUUAAGUUUUUUUUCAUUAUACAGUUUAACAAACUUCAAAACAAUAUUGAUCACCAAGACUCAUGGAUUCAUAAUACCAGACUAUUCACAAGUUCACUCUCCAGUGAAUAUAUCCAAUCACACUAGUAGCACUCUCAAUCUGUUGAGAUUAAGUUUACUACACAUAUCACAUUUUGGUAUACUUUGUUAACCUCAAAGCAUCUGAUAUAGCAAUAAUGUACAGCAGCCACAAUUAUCCAAUAAUGUCAAUCCAUUAUGACAACCCCAUUUAAUCUGCAGUAUCCUUUCACCAGAAAACACGUUCAUAUUUGAAAAAAAAAACAGAAUUCAUGGAAGAAAGAGUGCACAAGACGAACUGAUAAUAUGCCAUCAGAUGAGGAAAGCAUCCUAGGAUCAAUCAAACAAACAGAAGCAGCUGACGUAAAGAUGAUGUUAAAUAGGGGCAGUAGUGCAGCUGUGCAGCACCUUUCUUCUUGGAAUCCUUCUUCUUCACACAAAACAGCUCGAGCACCUUGUUUAGAACCAUCCUUAAAACCCGCUUCACGCAAAACGCACCUGAAAAACAUGAGACGCCAUCAUCAGAAUUAGACAGCCAGAAAACAGAAAUAGGCGUCGUCCACCAUCUCCAAAUAAAUCAUCUUCUCACCAAGCGUAACCGAAAAAGGAAGAAAAAAAGACACUAUCUUUUGGAGAAUCCCAACUCCCCAAGCAACUAUUAGUAUUUUCUCCCUUUUAUUUACUUUUUAUUUUAUUUACACUUCACUUCAUUAGUGAACUUUUGGGUUGGGAACUCUUGUUCAUCUGCCUCACCUGUCGGCGUCUAACUCCACACUCCAAUUCCAAUCAGUUACAUACGCGAAGGCUUGUCCAAUACGAUUGGGACACCCUUACCCCCAAGAACAGACAACAACAAAAAAGAAAGAAAGAAAAAAGAGAAGGAGAAGAGAGAACACAUUGAAAGCAAGAAGCCAAGAAACGGCAACUACAGCAACAGAACAAACCCAACAAGGAAAAAACAUACAAAAAUAAAAAGGAAUAAACUUGGACUGUCGCCAUCUAUGAACAGAGUAUCCAUCCAUCCAUCCACCCCAAUUCCACAGAGAAAAACGAGAGAUCACGAAGGUGGUGGUAAUCCCCCGAUCAUCAGCCACCGCCCAUCGCCCACAGCCGCGCCUCCACAAAAUAAAAAAGGAAAAAAAGAACCCUUUCCCCGCAAGAACAACGGCUGCAUCGAUCAAAAAGGAGAAGAAGAAAACCUCGGGUUUGUCUGAGGUGGUCGCGCUGUGCUCUGCAGUGGAGAGGGGGGAAGGGGGAGGGUUUUAGUUGCAGGGCUCAGCAACAAGAUAAUUAAUGUAGCAGUAAUAAAAGUAAAAGUAUUGAGACAACUAAGGAGGUUCUAAUAGGCAGCAAGUUUCAAACAAUAGGACAUGCAAAACCAAGCAGAUGUGAUCUCAAGGACCGGGAAGAGACGUUAGCUAGAACUCCUGGCAAAACUAUAUCUGUUUGAAUUACUGCCAGAUAUAUGGCCCAAAAGUGGAACACAGCAAUUUGAAAUAACAUCAAGUGGGAAAUGCAUAUGGAACAGUUCAGAACAUGGGCACAGGAAGUGAGGAACUUACAGCAUCCUAGCUGUAAGUUCCAGCUGUCAGGAACUUACAGUGUUGAACACUAUGUGAACCAGUAUAGGAAGCAUAUGGAGAAAUUUUCAUUGGCAUAAUGGCGUUUCUCAAUGCAAUGCAGUCUGUAUCCCCAAAGAAAACACAUGGUGAGGAAUUAAUUCCGCAGUUCACUAUAGAGUAGCACAUUUCCUAAUGCAACGUGUGUGCCGGGGCAGAGCAGCACAUUUCCUAAAGCAUAAGCUUAAACAAGUGGAUACAAAAUAUGCGUAGCACCAGAAGAACUCCUGUAACGUAGAUUGUCCAGUCUCCACUCUAAACAUCUCCAAUCCAGCACCCAAACACCCUAGGGAAAUUCUCUAAUUACUUUGGUCCGAUAGCAUCCCGUGAAGUUCAGAUAACCUACUACUCACAUCCCCAAAUUUCAGAGAAGUACACAAAUGAAUUAAUGCAUCAAUCUACUAUAUAGAACUCGAAUCAUGCGACAGGCAUCACAUCACAUUGAUCUGAUGAACGAUCGAUCGGAACGCGAAGCAAGC
RNAcentral lists this long non-coding RNA (5071 nucleotides) under Oryza sativa (Asian cultivated rice). RNAcentral describes it as "long non-coding RNA (OSAT_LNC000616)". Lineage: Eukaryota; Viridiplantae; Streptophyta; Magnoliopsida; Poales; Poaceae. The record is from RNAcentral.